This 10049-nucleotide long non-coding RNA is filed under the name Malus domestica (apple). RNAcentral describes it as "long non-coding RNA (MDOM_LNC009789)". The record is from RNAcentral. Lineage: Eukaryota; Viridiplantae; Streptophyta; Magnoliopsida; Rosales; Rosaceae.
AUACACACCCUAACAAUGGUCAAAAGUAGUGUGCUGGUGUAUCAUGUUGCCUAGCUAGCUACAUAUUCAUAUUUUGUGGUUGCGAACUGGCUUAUGGGAUUGAGGCAACACAAAAAAUGGUGAGUUUUUCAGGCAACACUCAUGUGUGCCGAUCAAUUAAGAGUUCAAAAUCGUGAAAAUAUAAUGUACGUACUACGUAUACCAGUUCAAUAAAUCUUUUUUACUUUAUACAAGACCAACGUGCUUUGUCUUGUUAUUUGAUUGACUAAAGUUGUUAUCGUUUGCUAAUAUAUAUUUGUGACCUCAGCUUAUCAAGAAAUAUGAUUUAAUAAUAAUAGUUUUGUUGUCCUUUUGGCUCUCUUAAUUUGAUUCUAAACAUUAAAAUUUGAUUUCACUUUCCUGCCUGCUUCCUGCUUCUGCAUGCAUACAAUAUUGCUAAGUUUUGCAUUUUGGACAUAUGGAAUGUUUUGUAACUCAACUUUUGUCCUUGAAUUACGUUGUUUUGUGGAUGCACGGGAUCGGUGGUUAGAGAUCUCGUCUUGAUCGCUGUCAUGCAAAUAGUACAUACGUAAUACAAAGAUUAGGCAGAGGUAACUUUGUGUAAUUUCUGGUGCCGCUCUAUGCUGUGCGCAGGUGUGCGCAUCGCCUGCGCGUAACGUCUUGGAGAUGAAAUCCCAGCCUUCCACCUCUAAGGCCUUAAAACCAACGGAUGUGAUGAGUGUUAAAUCCCUUGUACGCAACCCAUGCGCAGGGGAGAAAUUCAGCCGACACUGUUUUCUCACCCUGAUCGAAUGGACUUAUAGCAGCUUCAAUAUACCCACCACAGGCCUAAGUUUGUAGAUAAAAUCACCACUAAGAAUUUGGGCCGAUUCUGAAAUAUCGAAGCCCAAACUUAGAAGAGAUUUUAAAACGGGAUUUGAGAUUUUUCGUCACCAGACUUGACCCAGCGAAGCUGGCAACGAAUACAGUACACACCCACCCACGCCCACCUAGGAAAUCCCUUAAUCUUAACGCACAAAACCCUUUGGGAAAUUGACAUUUUGAGAAAAACAUUUUGAAAAGCUUCCUGGCUCAGAAAAUGAUAAAACCAUGCAACCCAUAACCAUAUUUUAUUGUGUUAGUGCUUUGUACAAAGGAUUAAUCACCGGUGUUUAUAUAACACAUGAAAGUAACAUAUUCCUGCUCAUCUAUCUCAUUUGUAGAAGAGAUGUAAACGUUUCUAUUCGACUUUUAAUAGAUUUCUCUUCCCAUUGAGUAGAGAAACGUAAAGAGUGAGGUUCUCAUUUUGAUCCCGUUAAAAUUUGAAUGGUGUUGUUGUGUCCCAUAUAUUGGUCCCAUUGAGUACAGAAAUGUCUACAUGAUUCUAUCACAAGCAAAUAACAUGCCAUGUAUCUUGAGAAUUAUGAUAGCAGAAAUAAGCCUUAGAAAGUAAGCAUCUAAGGUCACUUCAGUCUGUGAAGGUCAGGGCCGGCCUUACGGGUAGCCAGGUAAGGCAAUCGCCUAAUUCCCCCAACUUCUAGGGGCCCCCAAAUUUUUUAUAUGUAUGUAUUAGUAUAUAAAUACUUUUAAAGUAAGACGGAUAACACAAAAAACUUGGUGGCGUAGUGGAAAGGAAAGCAUUUAUUUGGUUACCAUCUCCUGUUCAAAACAUGAUGAAGACUCCCCAAACAAGUAUUGUUUUUCCAAAUAUAAUUAGAAAGCCUAAUCUAAUAACAAUUUAGAUUAUGUAAACUCAAUUAGUACAUAUGCAUCUAAAAAUGCGAGACGGAUUCUCUAAUAUUUAUAUAUCUUUCUUGUUUUAGUAUUAAUUUUUAAUAGUAUUUGAUGUAGAAAUACAUUUUUUUUUCAUGUAUUAGCGAAUUAUUUAUUCUACAUAUCAAUGUACAAAGAGUCGGGGGUUCGAUAAUUCUAGAGCCCCACUUUUAAAGCUCGCCUAGAGCCUUCAAAUUCUCAAGCUGGCCUUGGUGAUGGUGCCAAUUGGCCUUUCCUAUAGCUUGAAUGGAAACUGAAGUUACAACCAUACACUUGUUUUGUACCUCCUGUCAUUCUCAUAUUGGAGUGACUCCCAAAUGGUUUCGUAGCAUACAAAAGGAAACUGGACUUUUUCACUUCGAUUUCUUAAAACUCAUUUAGCUAUGAUCUAACCGAUGAUGUUAUUCAAAUCACAUCAUCGACCUUGUUUCCAUCUGAUGUCCUAUCCUACAUAUAUUGAUUAUAAAUUUAAAAAGAGAGGGGGAGAGUCCAAGAGAGAGAGAGAGAGGGACAAUAGGAAAAAUGGGGAAGGGUCCCUUCCCUUCUCUUUCAAGCGCAUUACUAUUGAGUACGAUGCAAGAUUUCUAAGAACUUCACCAACUUUGUAAGACUAAUGAGAGAAGAUUUCAUAGUUCAAUUCUAAUGGUACAAAACUGUUCUCUACGCCCAGAGAGAAUUCCAAAAACAUAUAAUAGAGAACUGAGAAGCAGAAAAUACCUGUUUCACGUUACAUUUUCAGUGUGAUGAGCUUUGUCAGUAAACUAAACAGCCCAACAUCUAAAGCAGUAACUAACUCAGAUGAACUUCUAGACUCUAACCAUGACUUGACUGCAACUUUUGUUGUAAAAAACCAGCCAGCCUUGUCUAAGGCCUCAUGGAAUGGAUCAUUCAAUUCCUUCAAAUGCGACUAAAAUACACCCGCCAGACCUUUGUCUGAAUACUUAUAUUUCCCAUAUCCAGUAUUAAUUCCAAGCAACGGCAGAAGCUCCUCACCGGAUUCCAAUACCCGAGAUAGGUCAUUAAUCCAAACAUGUAAUGCAGUCAGAGCUGCCCCAAGAGAGAGGCCAUUGAGAUACAAAGACCACUGGGUCUGCGACCUUGACUGUAAGCCUAUAUAUAUCUGAAGUGUGAUCCCCAAGUCUAGUAGCUCACAGGCUCUCUCCAAGAGAUUGAGGUUCACACAAAGAUCAAUCAGGCAAUUGGAGUAAGCCUUCUUUACAUCCGAACCAAUCGAGUUAAAAAGUUGUGAAUCUUCGUUGUUGAACUUUUCACUACUUUCUUGCUUCUCCACUAAAAGUUUUAACACAUACCCUAGUUUUUCAUCAGCCCUCUCAAUGCAAUUCACAAGCUUGCAAAGUUCUUCCUUUGGUGUUUAAGUCAUCACAUUCAGGAGACAACCACAGAAACGCUCAUCUGGUGUUAUACCCAAUUCUAGGAGUUGAUUGAAUAUCUUGACAACGUCAUCAGUACGUUUUGCUUUACCCUAGCAUUGGAUGAGUGAUGUCAAAAUAAAGAUAUUUGGCUCAAAACCAACUUCCAACAUCUCAUUCAAUGUUGCUUCUGCCUCUAUGACUUUCCACACUACAAGAAUACAUGGUAAUCAUGGACGAAAAGGUCCAACUGUCAGGCUUCAGUGUUUCAAUACUCUUCAUUUCUUAAAAAAUCUCAAUGGCUUCGUCGGUGUAAACAACAUCAGCACACAUAGCUAAAAGGGUGUUAUAGAGAAUUACAUUUAACUCCAAUCCCUUUUCCUUCAUCUCUUUAUAAACAUUAAGAGCAUCAUCACAGUAACGAGCUAUACCAUAGGCCCUUAAAAGAGUUGCAUAGGUUACCCAAUUUGGUGAAAGCUCCUUGCUUAUCAUCUGUCGGUAAAUUUUCUUGGCCUGCCAAGGUCUCCUAGCUCUUCCCAUAGCAUCCAACAAAGUGUUAUAAAUAACCAAGUUUGGCUUAGCCCCUAUAGCUUUCAGUUCCUCAUAAACAUUCAAGCACCCAUCAAAAUUCCCCGAUUGCCCGUGAAUUUUGAUGAACGUAGAAAACGUCACUGGAUCAAUGCGCCGCUUCUCAGUCCUGGCCCGGUCAUACAAACUGAAAGCCAUUUCUACCUUACCCACACGUCCAUAGGCGUCAAUCAUAGCCGAAUAGGUAACAUCAUCCGGAUUACACCCAAAACCGGGAAUCUUCUCAAACCACUCCACAGCCUUAUCAAGCAAAGAACACAUCAAAGAGCAACUAAUCAUAGUCGAAAAGGUAACAUUAUCGGGGUUAACACCUCUCUGAAGUAUUUCGUCGAACAGCUUCUCUGCUCUCUCCAUAUCCUUACCCUUCCUACACACUUUCAAAGUCACAUUAUCCAAAAUCACCUCCCGCUUCGGUUUCAACCUCUGCUGAAAGUAGUUAAGCGCAAGCAAAGCAUUUUCCGGAUUGUUCAUGCUAUUCAGAACCACCACAGCGUUUGGUUCCAAAAUAUAAUCCCCUAGACCUUUUAAAGCUUCGAAAACAUCACUUUCAAUCGGAGUGCAAGAGUUCAAAUACUCAGCUACUUUCACCAAAGAAGCUUACCUGGAAUCGUAGGACUUGUGCCGCAGCUGUGAAGUUCUGGGGCUGCUGGGAUUGACCCAGAUAUAGCUUUUCGAGAAAGACCCGGAAUUUCCAUCUGGCCUCUGAAUAUUUCCAAUUUCUGGAGCUUUGGAGUUCUGGGCUUCUUCUGCAACUGGGUCUUGCAAAGAAACAUGGUGUAUUUGCAGAGAGGUUCUUGACUGAAAUUGCAGUGAAGGAAAACUGAGUCUGUGGGUGUUAAUUGCAAGGCUUAGGAGUCGGAAAUUAGUCGGGGAAGAAGAAGAAGGGAGAGAGCGGGGGGAGUUUGGGGGUUGCGGAAGAGAAAGGAGGGUGAGGAGCACAAGUGAUAAGCCAUUUUCCUCACCCUGUGGGGGAUUAUGAAAGGUGCAUUUCUUUUGCUUUGCAUUCACAGGACAAAUAUCUUUUUGAACUUGUGUCGGGCCUGGAAGUGAUUUUACGGCUUCGGAAGAUGUUCGAAGCCCAACUUGAAUUUCCAAGAGCUUUAUGAUCAGAUAAAAAGUUUAUUAAAAUAGGCAUUGUUUUGUAUAAGCAUUAAGGAAAAUGUUAUGAUUAAGCUUUUUCAUAGCAGUUUUAUCAUCGUUUUGUAGGUCCAGAUGUUCAAAAGCUUACGUGUAGGAAAGAUGAGUUUAAUAUAAAGAAAUCACAAACCAUAACAAAAUUGUGAGUGUUAGCUCAUAAAUUUUGUAGAAAAUGCAACAAUUGAUGUCAUUUAAGGUGUUCAGAAGCAUUCUUAUCGUAAUAGAAAAUUAAGAAUAAAAUCACCUCCACAUCCAAAUCUCCUUAAUGUCCCAUAAGAAUUUUAAGAUUCUUACGGUUAAAAUUUGACACAAAUAUAGGUUAUAUAUAUAUAUAUAUAUAUUUUAGGUUAUAUAUAGUUCUUGGCAAAAAAUCUAUAAAUCAAUAAAACACCGUAAAUAUUAGCUCACGAGAAAAUAUUAAAUUAACUAUUGAGCAUAAGAAUAUGUUGCAGAGGUAGAAAAAUGUUACGAGCCGUUAGGAAAUGGUGGGUUUUUGUAGGGUAUCAGCCGGAAUACAAACAUGGUGUUGGAUUAGUAGACACGUGGGGUUUUGGCUUUUGCUUAUUUUUGUAUAAACAUAUCAAUUAAUUCUCGAACAAACAAAAGGAGAAUGGAAUGAAAAGCAGGCAUAGGAGUAGUUCUUGUUUCUGGGAACACAUUAUUAUACACGUAUCUAGGUUGCUGCUGCCGCUCUCUCUCUCUCUCUCUCUCUCUCUCUCUCUCUCUCUCUCUCUCUCUCGUCGACAUUUGGAGGGGCCGAGGGAUCAAGGAUUUGUUUAAUUUAGAGUAAUGUUAAGAAAACAAAAUUUAUAAAUAAAAUUUACAAAUUAAAUGAUGUGUCGCUAAUAAGAAAUUAACACAUUUAUAAACGUUUAAGUAAUAAUCAAAUCAUCAACUUUCAUGUCAUUUAGUUAAUAAAAUUUAGUCUACAAAUUUAGUCUUCUUAAUAUUACUCUUUAGUUUAUGGUAGAAUCUAACUAUGUGGGGCUGAAAAUGAUAUAGUUGAGCAUUGUUAGACGAGAAAUGGUAGCUAAAUUUCAUUCUUUAGUUUACUCAUAUGAGCCCUGGGAGGCCAAGGAACACAUUAUCUUGAUCAAAUAGUGUAACUCAUAUAAGCUUCAGAAGAUAAGAGAUUGCUUCGGGAUGGGUUUUUGUUUUUGUAAAGAAAGAAAAAAAUAUAGUUUAGAUUAGAACAUGCUGGUAGGAGAGAAAAAUGGUUAGCUUUUGGAAAUAUAGGUAAAUAUAGAAAAAUAAUAAUGAGUUUUUUUAAAAGAAAUCAAAAUUUUGUUUGUGUUAAUAGAGUUCAUGUUACAUUUAAUAAAUGAGAAAGAUACGUAGCUAGAUUCUUCUGUUCACACCUCCUCAAUUCCACUCUUGACCAAUAAGAACGCACGCGCACGCACUGUGCAGGACAAAGAAGGGAAUGUGGAAUGGAAACUUUUAUUGCAUUGAAAAUUGUAGCAGCCACCAACUUCAUCUUCAUCUUCAUCUUCAUGAUGAGAUGUAUCUCUCUCUCUAUAGUCUAUACUAAUGAUAUAAGAACAGAUUAACGUGAUUGUGACUUGACAACCACCAAGAUCAACGACCAACUUUAUUAUUCACUUAACAAUAUAUGACCCUCCUAUAAUAUUAAUAUCGAACACUGCUAAAAUAUUAUCCCGAGAUUGAAGAAGUUAUCACGGUCCAACAAGAUGAUCGAUGAUUUACAUGACUGUGCAAGCUGAGGGAUUUUCUUCACUGAAACAGUCAGGGCGGGUAACGCAAUACCCCCUGUUGCCACCACCGUAACUGUCAUACACAGGCCUCCCAUAGUAACCAUCAUACUGGAUGUACGAGGCUAGCCCCCCGCUAUAACCACUGUGGCACGGCCCAGCUGCAUGCCCCUGGUAACAAUCCAUACAACACGCUUGGACAUGCGAUGAGGGUCCAGGAUUUAGCAGGCCAACUUUAGGUUUACCGUCAUCUUUAGGCGUACUGUCAUCUUUAGGCUUACCGUCACCUUUAGGCUUGCCGUCAUCUUUAGGCUUACCUUCAUCUUUAGGCUUACUGUCAGCUUUAGGCUUGCCUUCAUCUUUAGGCUUACCGUCAGCUUUAGGCUUGCCAUCAUCUUUGGGUGCUUUGGGCUUGCCGUCAUCUUUGGGUGCCUUGGGCUUCUCGGGCUCUUUGAUCUCAAUGCUUUUGAUGGCACUCCCACCUUUGCAGCAAAUCUUGUCCCUCAUCUUUUCUGGACUGCAGCAUACCACUUUGAUAACCACUUGGUUUUGCUUCUCGUCGUAUAUCUGGUCUCGUAUUUCUCUUGUUCACAAACACACAUUAAUUUACUCAGUUUACAUUUAAUCUAAAUUAAUCUUAUUUUCCCAAAAAGAAAGAACUUUAACUUUGGUAUUUCAUCAAAUAACCAUAUAGAUGAAUCAAGGAGAAAAGAGACUCACGUGGGAAUUUACAAAGAACUUUUUUAACCUUCUUGUAGCAUUUGUGACACUGAAGAUCUACCUUCAGCACCAUAAUCGUAACCUGAAUUAUCCAUUUUUAAUAUUAAUAGAAAAAAUAUGUGCAUUAACCAAAGAUUGACAAGAAUGAAUCUUCAGAAAAUAUAUAAAUAUACAGAAGAUUGUUGUGCAAAAGUGUAGACAAAAAGAAGUGGAACAGUGCUGCUGGACAAUCAGGGUUCUAACUGACUGACAGGGAAGAAUCAUGGUGAAAGUAUGUGGCCAAAUCUGUAACACAGAGAGAGAGAGAGAGAGAGAGAGAGAGAGAGAGAGAGAGAGAGAGAGGCAAAAAGCAACAAAAUAGCACAGAGGAAGGGACUUGGAGACUUAUUAGGAUAUAAAAAAAAAAGAACAGGAACCACAAAACUUAAACAAGAGCUUAAAGCCUUUUAGUUUUAGCCAUACAAUCAUCAUUUGGGUUAUCUACUUAUCCUUGGAAGAAGAAAAUGAAGAGAACACAAACUAUACCAAAUAUUACGUACCUUUUCCUUUUCCCCCAUUGCAGUGAGUAGUGGAUGCUCUCAGGCUCAGAUCUGGACGAGAACUUCUCAACUAAAAUGAUUGAAUGGGACAAAAACUUUAACGAAAUCAACUUUUAUAAUUAUAUAUGCAUAUUUAUACAAAAAUAUAUAAAAAUAGGAAUACAAUUCGGUGGAACAAAACAGAGAGAGAGAGAGAGAGAGAGAGAGAGAGAGAAGGAGAGAGCAAUAUUUGAUUAAAGUGGCUUAUUAAAAAAAAAUAUGACAAAUUGCUUGUUAAGAAAGAGUGAAAAAGAAAGAGGGAGAGAGCGCACAAUAGUUCGUACAUAGGGCGAAUGGGCUGCGAACACGUUGAUAUCGGUAGGUUGAUCCCACGCUAUGGUGGACAAAAGUUUCAUUGUAACUGUAAUACGGAUAAUACAACAUGUGUCAGUGAUGGAAAAUUUUAAUUUUUAAGUUAUUAAUUUUUUAACACAAGUAGCUCAUUAUUUUUAUAAUAACAUGUGAUGUAACAUUCUAUAUUUUGGACACACUAAAAGUUAUGUCAUUAUAAUAAUUGAGAGUUGUCGUUAUAGAGGCAGAUUGUCUACCCUCCUGUUUGGGUGCCCAUCUCAUCCUCACAUAUUUUGUGCGGUCAUGGUUAAACCACGUUUACAUUUUAUAUGCUCAUUAUUUUUUGUCUUAUUAUCUUUAUAAAAAAAAUUAAUAUAAAAUAUUGACGUGCCUUAACUGUAACCGUACAGAUAGAAGAUGAUGAAAAAAACACCUAAACAGGAGGCAGACAAUACGCCUCCUCGUUAUACGAAGAUAGGUGACUUCCUGAUGAUCGCUAAAAGUUGAAAUUUCUUGCACAUGCAUGUGCUGGCUUUGAUUCACCCACCUCACCUUCCAUACUUUCCAACUUCCUGCUAAUAUUAUUAUAAGUAAAUGAUUAAUUAUCAAAAUAAAAUUACAUCCUAAGUUAAUUAUAAUUAUUAAAGUUCACAUAGAGUUUGGUGGAGAGGAGAGAUGCCAAUAUUAUUUCAAGAUCGUCAAAUUAAUGGAGAAAAAACUAUAUUGUAGGGUCGAUAGUUUGGUCAAGUGCAAUUAUGGAUCAUGCACCCCCACAUGGCACAUGGAAAUUCCUCCAGUUGUCCCUACAUCUUAAGUAACAACAGGUGCCACCCAUCUUUGACUAGCUACUUGAAGUUUGGUUUGUUAAUCCAAACCGGUGAAGAAACGUCUGGUAAUUAGGUUGGAGUAGGAUUCUUUAUCCUUUUAUUUCCAUUCUUUUUUCUUCCCUUCUCUUACAUGUUACUUUUUGUCUUAUUGUUUUUAUAAAAAAAAUCAAUAUAAAAUGUUGACGUAACUAAACCAUAAUCAUUCAAAUAAAAGAAGAGGGAAAAAAAGAGAGAUUAAGAGGAAAGCGAAUCCUCUUCCAAUUAGGAUAACGAUUUUCAUUCAAUUGAUAUGGCAUCAUUUUAGAACCACACGUACAUACAUGCUGCAUCAUAAACCCUAUUACCUGCAAUGUACCGGACAGAGAAUGGAUGAUCAAAAUCCAAAAAGCGUGGGCUCCAGAUGACAAGAGCGUGGCUGAGGUUCAAAUGUCCCAAUUUCAUAGAGGUGGGUUGCUCACACAAUAGUGGUUGAUCAAUCCGAUUUGAUCUUUUCUUCUUGUACGUAAGUGCAUCACAGCUCAUUCAUUUGUACGUAAGACUUGAUAUGUUUCGUUUUGAUACAACCGACAAGAAAAUGAGGAUGAGAUUAGUGGACAUUAGGUGCAACGAUAUUUAAAUUAAUUAGUCGUUCACUUAAUUAUCUUUGUUUCAAGACUAGAAGUAGUACACUACACACCCUAACAAUGGUCAAAAGUGGGGAGUAUGAUUCUCUACCCUUCCAUGUCCUUCUAUUUGAACGGUCACGGUUAAGUCAUGUCCUCCUAUUUGAAUGGUUAAAUAUGAUUUAAUAAUAAUAGUUUUGUUGUCCUUUGGCUCUCUUGAUUUGAUUCUAUACAUUAAAAAUUGAUUUCACUUUCCUGCCUGCUUCCUGCUUCUGCAUACAUACAAUAUGGCUAAGCUUUGCAUUUUGGACAUAUCGAAUGUUUUUUAACUCAACUUUUGUCUUUGAAUUACGUUGUUUUGUGGAUGCACGGGAUCGGUGGUUAGAUAUCUCGUCUUGAACGCUGUCGUGCAAAUAGUACAUACGUAAUACAAAGAUUAGGCAGAGGUAACUUUGCGUAAUUUCUGGUGCCG